CCAGUCUACUUCCUUAGUCUCUCCUUCUCCGAUCCCACUAACCUAUUGAAAAACACAGAAGAAAACCGUUGAAAAUGUUGAGGUUUAAGAGAUUUAGCUCAGCUGUAAUUCUCCAUUCAAAAAGCUUUUUUUCCAGAGAAGAGAAAUUAGUUUCUCCAAUCCAUUUAAGCAAUCCUUGCCGAUUGACCUCCAAUCGCUUCCUCGAUAUUUACCAGCUGGGAAACAAGGAGGCAAUUGAGAAAGAGCGUGCUCGGCUUAAAGAUGAGAUGAACCGGGGUUACUUUGCUGAUAUAAACGAGUUGAAGCAACAUGGUGGUAAGAUUGCAACUGCAAAUAAGAUAAUAAUUCCAGCAAUGGCGGCUGUGAAGUUUCCUGCGUUGGAGGUGAGUAACUCAGAUGGUUCAAGCCUUAAGCUUCCCAUCACAUCCGCUGGAAAUGGCGUUGAGGCAAACAAAGCUGAAGCACCAAAGGCAUCAUUGUUGUGUCUUUCAUUUCGUGCAAGCUCACAGGCGAUGGUAGAUUCUUGGAGUAAACCAUUUCUGGAUACAUUUAAAGAUUCCAAUAGAGUUCAGCUUUAUGAGAUCUCCUUUAUAGAUUCAUGGUUGUUGACACUCAGUCCUGUAAAGAAACUACUACUUCGAACUAUGAGGAAAUCUAACCCUGACGAAAGCAAGGAUGCACUGCAUAGACAAAUUGUUUAUUCAUUUGGAGACCAUUACUACUUUCGGAAAGAACUUAAAAUAUUGAACCUUCUGACUGGGUACACGUUUUUGCUUGACAAAUUUGGUAGAAUACGAUGGCAAGGUUCUGGAUUGGCAACAGAAGAAGAGUUGUCAUCGCUUCUAUCCUGUACUUCUCUACUGCUGGAUGAGGAAUAAAAGUAACAAAAAUUUUGCUAUACAUGUCCAAUUUCAAAUAUCAAAAGGCAUAUGGAGGGAUCUCCUUGUUUAGUAGAUUCAAGCUCCUAAAAUCUACAUAAAUGCUUCAUUUUUGUACUUCUGUGCCUACUCUGGUUUUGUAGGUGCUGCAAUUUUCCUAAAAAUGAGUAUGACUUUUUGGUGUUCCUGGACAUUCUGCCUUGAACUGAAUUGCACAAAACAUAUAUGUGUUAUCACACCACUAGUUCCAGUUUGCCAAUGAUAUUGGACCACAUAGUAAAGCCAGAUGAUCAACUUUCAUCAUAAAGCAGGUGCUAAGAGACAGUGGUGUUUGGGCCAGUUUGCGAGCAUAUCGAUUAUUCAAGUGAGUAUUUGCUACCUCCAUUAGCGUAGACAUCAGGUAAAUCUCACACCAAUGCUUAGGCAGAUAAAGAAGAAAUCACUGGUAUUUUUGUGUUUGUCGAGAUUUGAAUCCGAAUUUUCAAGGUUUGCAACUUGAUUCAUUGAUUUUUAGGUUAUACCCUUGGCGCAAAGCGUUUUGCAAAGGAUUUUUCUGCCAAACCAGCUAUUGAUCAUCGUGUGUUCCUUUUAUUCGGAUCUUUCAAUUCGCAGCAGCCACGAAUUUUCCUUUUUCCUCUUUCCUUUUUUUGUUCCUUUCCCUUUCCCCUUCUUCCAAAUAAAUUACGUUUCAUAUAUAAGAUCACGACUUUACUGCGAAUUUAUUUAGGCCAAUGCUCAUGUUUUUAUUAUAGAGCUAAACCUUGACCUUAAUAAUAUAAGACAUCGGUUUCUUGUCUGGGAAGUUUCUGUGUUAACAGUUCACUGUCCUCUGAAGUGGUGUAGUGAGCUACCUGUGACAGAAUUAGGAGGGGCAAAUGGGCUGCUUGGGCUGAAGUUGGGCGGGUCAAGAUUGGCUGAGUAAAUAAAUGGGCUAAUGCCCAACACUGCCCAAAGUUCCUUCUUCGAAGAAUUAAUGCAAAUAGCUGUCUACCCAACCACUUAAACUAAAAAUAGCCGGUUGAGCUUGGCUUGGGAGUCUUGCAAUGGUUCAACCUUCAACUGAUCUUGGAAGUUUCAAUUUCUUGCUUGUGAAUGCUUGCUUAAAUUGGGCUGUGAAUAUCCUUAAGGUCAGUGGAUAUACUUGGCUUGUUUUUGGUGCUUGUCUUUUCCUAUUCUUUCUACGUUGGAAGUUGGAUUCUGUGUCGUUGAGAUAUAGCCAUAUUUUUGCUCCAAUACCUACCACAUCACCCACCAUUUCAACUAUGCUAACCAACAUUUCAGUAUCUGCAAGCUCCAACACUCCCUCUUCCAGUAGUGCUGACCCUACACCCUCUACUAUUGCGUCCUCGUUACAGUUUUACUCUUAGCGAUCUACGACUUCCUCUCCAGCCACCGACGUUACCAGCUCAUCCACCAGCUAGAGUUCAUUCUUUUUGAGCUUUCCAGAGUCAGUAGUGGUGGUCCGUGGUGAUGGUUGUGACGUUUUGGUUGUGUUGGUCGUAGUUGGUGGAAGAGAACGGUGGCAGUAGUUGUGUAGUGAUUGUUGUGCAGUGAUAACGAGAUGUGGCAGCUGUGUAGUGGCUGGCUGACAAGGAUAGUCGGGCAGUGGACCGAGGCGGAUCCAGGAUGUAAAAUUAAUGGGUUCAACCCUUUUAAAUUUCUUAGCAUUAAACUCAUUGUUAUUUUAAAUGUUAUGCAUUCAGAACAUAAUAAAUUUUUGAGGUUUCUGACUA
Nicotiana attenuata is the source of this 2611-nucleotide RNA transcript. RefSeq lists it as uncharacterized. Lineage: Eukaryota; Viridiplantae; Streptophyta; Magnoliopsida; Solanales; Solanaceae. The record is from RefSeq and is a predicted model, not a curated record. The transcript is spliced from 9 exons.